This is a long non-coding RNA of Hippocampus comes (tiger tail seahorse), 577 nucleotides long. RefSeq lists it as uncharacterized. Lineage: Eukaryota; Metazoa; Chordata; Actinopteri; Syngnathiformes; Syngnathidae. The transcript has 2 exons. The record is from RefSeq and is a predicted model, not a curated record.
UCUCUUCCGUUUUUACUGCAAGCCAACAUUAGGAUGUGCAGGCAGGCAAUUCUUUUUUAAAUGCAGUUUUUACUCUUUUCCACCAGUUUGGUUCACUCUUGUGUGUGUGUCUUUUAUGUUGGUAGAAGGUCCAGAACAACAGAUACUAUACCAAUUUGGACAGUUAGGUGUGGAAUUAGAUACACGUCAGGCUCUUGAUGAGUUGACAGAGCAUUGACCUACAAAUAUUUGUGCAACAACUGGAAUGGUGGGUUGCACUGCUGUGAGGUAAACUCAAGUCGAAUCGCAAAAUACAAGCAUGUGGAAAGGUUACAUCAUUUGAAAACCAUCCUUGAAGUUGAGGGGGGAAAAAAAUGCCACCACACAUGGUGAUGACCAUCGAACAGGAAGUGGUACUCAGUGGGAAUGAGGCCAUUGUGUGCUGAUGAAAAAUGGGACAUGUGUCAUGGUUGCUUACUAGAGCUCAAGUGCCAUCAAUCCAAAAAAAGAAAAUGUUUGGUGACAUCUUGCGGAAUCUUUUCUUAAUUCAGAAUCUUAAAUCCCCAACAAGGAACUAUGCUGAAGUGAGGUUUUUUUU